AGUUCUGGGAAAGUGCUGGUUAUAAAGGGGGGGUAAAUACUCUUUAUAGGGUAAAAAAUAUCCCCCAGAGCCCCAGAGCGCACGAGGAGAGUGCUGGAAAGGUGAAAAGUUUUUUGAAGAGAGGGUUUACACAGUGUGAGAAAUUGUUGAGGGGAAAGCGCCCGAGUAUAGUCUUGUCCUUGACCGCUCGUUUAGGGGGCAGCAUUCCGUAAACCCUCCCGGUCAUGGUUUGCAGCCCAGCAUCGGUUUGUGUUGGGGGAUAAGAGUAGUGGGAACGUAGCUUCUCUUCGGGCGAGUGUUAUAGCCCUUUCCCCGUUACCCUGCCCCAGAUCGAGGAACGCGUCUUCGCACACGGAUGUUGGCGUAAUGGUUGUUGGCCCCCCGUCUUGAAACCCGGCCCAAGGAGUGGAGGUUUUCCGGGAGUGUGUGGGUGGUAGCCCCGCCCCCGACAUGAAAGUGAACCCAGGUCAGGACCUUUCUUGGGUGCUCCAUCGCCCGAUCCAAUGUUUUCGGAUGGAUUUGAGUAAGAGCAUGGCUGUUGGGACCCGAAAGAUGGUGAACUAUGCCUGAAUAGGGUGAAGCCAGAGGAAACUCUGGUGGAGGUUCGCAGCGGUUCUGACGUGCAAAUCGAUCGUCAAAUGUGGGCAUGGGGGCGAAAGACUAAUCCGAUCCCUCCUGACUGGGGC
RNAcentral lists this ribosomal RNA (686 nucleotides) under Meliola sp. SSD-2020d. Its description in RNAcentral is "partial large subunit ribosomal RNA". It matches the Rfam family "Eukaryotic large subunit ribosomal RNA", at positions 263 to 957 of the family's 3401-position model. The record is from RNAcentral. Lineage: Eukaryota; Fungi; Ascomycota; Sordariomycetes; Meliolales; Meliolaceae.